UACGGGGAGUGCAAGCGUUGUUCGGAAUCAUUGGGCGUAAAGCGCGUGUAGGCGGCCUGGUAAGUUCGGUGUGAAAGCCCUCGGCUCAACCGAGGAAGUGCAUCGGAUACUGCCCGGCUUGAGUGCGGGAGGGGAGAGCGGAAUUCCCAGUGUAGAGGUGAAAUUCGUAGAUAUUGGGAGGAACACCAGUGGCGAAGGCGGCUCUCUGGACCGACACUGACGCUGAGACGCGAAAGCGUGGGUAGCAAACAGGAUUAGAAACCCCGGUAGU
RNAcentral lists this ribosomal RNA (271 nucleotides) under uncultured bacterium. RNAcentral's name for it is "partial 16S ribosomal RNA". It matches the Rfam family "Bacterial small subunit ribosomal RNA", at positions 524 to 794 of the family's 1533-position model. The record is from RNAcentral.